UUGUGGAGCUGGCUUGCCUGCGAUGCAGGCACCUCGGCUUUUCAGUUGCACCGAGGUGAUGCCAUCGCGGGCAAGCCCGGCUCCCACA
This 88-nucleotide unclassified non-coding RNA is filed under the name Pseudomonas sp. NFPP24. The record is from RNAcentral. Lineage: Bacteria; Pseudomonadati; Pseudomonadota; Gammaproteobacteria; Pseudomonadales; Pseudomonadaceae.